RNAcentral lists this ribosomal RNA (375 nucleotides) under uncultured bacterium. RNAcentral's name for it is "bacterial SSU rRNA". It matches the Rfam family "Bacterial small subunit ribosomal RNA", at positions 521 to 896 of the family's 1533-position model. The record is from RNAcentral.
UAAUACAGAGGGUGCGAGCGUUAAUCGGAGUUACUGGGCGUAAAGGGUGCGUAGGCGGUGAUAUGAGUGUGAUGUGAAAGCCCUGGGCUUAACCUAGGAAGCGCAUCGCAAACGAUAUGACUGGAGUAGAUGAGAGGGUGGCGGAAUUUCCGGUGUAGCGGUGAAAUGCGUAGAGAUCGGAAGGAACGUCAAUGGCGAAGGCAGCCACCUGGCAUCAUACUGACGCUGAUGCACGAAAGCGUGGGGAGCGAACAGGAUUAGAUACCCUGGUAGUCCACGCUGUAAACGAUGAGGACUAGAUGUUGGUAGGGGAACCUAUCAGUAUCGAAGCUAACGCGAUAAGUCUUCCGCCUGGGAAGUACGGCCGCAAGGUUG